CAGUCGAGCGGAACGAGAUAUCAGAACCUUCGGGGGACGAUAACGGCGUCCAGCGGCGGACGGGUGAGUAAUGCCUAGGAAAUUGCCCUGAUGUGGGGGAUAACCAUUGGAAACGAUGGCUAAUACCGCAUGAUGCCUACGGGCCAAAGAGGGGGACCUUCGGGCCUCUCGCGUCAGGAUAUGCCUAGGUGGGAUUAGCUAGUUGGUGAGGUAAGGGCUCACCAAGGCGACGAUCCCUAGCUGGUCUGAGAGGAUGAUCAGCCACACUGGAACUGAGACACGGUCCAGACUCCUACGGGAGGCAGCAGUGGGGAAUAUUGCACAAUGGGCGCAAGCCUGAUGCAGCCAUGCCGCGUGUGUGAAGAAGGCCUUCGGGUUGUAAAGCACUUUCAGUCGUGAGGAAGGCAGCGUCGUUAAUAGCUGCGUGUUUGACGUUAGCGACAGAAGAAGCACCGGCUAACUCCGUGCCAGCAGCCGCGGUAAUACGGAGGGUGCGAGCGUUAAUCGGAAUUACUGGGCGUAAAGCGCAUGCAGGUGGUUUGUUAAGUCAGAUGUGAAAGCCCGGGGCUCAACCUCGGAAUUGCAUUUGAAACUGGCAGACUAGAGUACUGUAGAGGGGGGUAGAAUUUCAGGUGUAGCGGUGAAAUGCGUAGAGAUCUGAAGGAAUACCGGUGGCGAAGGCGGCCCCCUGGACAGAUACUGACACUCAGAUGCGAAAGCGUGGGGAGCAAACAGGAUUAGAUACCCUGGUAGUCCACGCCGUAAACGAUGUCUACUUGGAGGUUGUGGCCUUGAGCCGUGGCUUUCGGAGCUAACGCGUUAAGUAGACCGCCCUGGGGAGUACGGUCGCAAGAUUAAAACUCAAAUGAAUUGACGGGGGCCCGCACAAGCGGUGGAGCAUGUGGUUUAAUUCGAUGCAACGCGAAGAACCUUACCUACUCUUGACAUCCAGAGAACUUUCCAGAGAUGGAUUGGUGCCUUCGGGAACUCUGAGACAGGUGCUGCAUGGCUGUCGUCAGCUCGUGUUGUGAAAUGUUGGGUUAAGUCCCGCAACGAGCGCAACCCUUAUCCUUGUUUGCCAGCGAGUAAUGUCGGGAACUCCAGGGAGACUGCCGGUGAUAAACCGGAGGAAGGUGGGGACGACGUCAAGUCAUCAUGGCCCUUACGAGUAGGGCUACACACGUGCUACAAUGGCGCAUACAGAGGGCAGCCAACUUGCGAAAGUGAGCGAAUCCCAAAAAGUGCGUCGUAGUCCGGAUUGGAGUCUGCAACUCGACUCCAUGAAGUCGGAAUCGCUAGUAAUCGUGGAUCAGAAUGCCACGGUGAAUACGUUCCCGGGCCUUGUACACACCGCCCGUCACUGCCAUGCGAGUGGGCUGCAAAAGCAAGUAGGUAGUCUUAACUUCGGGGAGACGC
Molecule: ribosomal RNA, 1416 nt
Filed under: Vibrio parahaemolyticus
Lineage: Bacteria; Pseudomonadati; Pseudomonadota; Gammaproteobacteria; Vibrionales; Vibrionaceae
Description: bacterial SSU rRNA
Rfam family: Bacterial small subunit ribosomal RNA
Source: RNAcentral